UACGUAGGGUGCGAGCGUUAAUCGGAUUUACUGGGCGUAAAGCGUGCGCAGGCGGCCCGUUAAGACAGGUGUGAAAUCCCUGGGCUCAACCUAGGAAUUGCGCUUGUGACUGGCGGGCUCGAGUACGGUAGAGGGGGGUGGAAUUCCUGGUGUAGCAGUGAAAUGCGUAGAUAUCAGGAGGAACACCGAUGGCGAAGGCAGCCCCCUGGGCCUGUACUGACGCUCAUGCACGAAAGCGUGGGGAGCAAACAGG
RNAcentral lists this ribosomal RNA (253 nucleotides) under uncultured microorganism. RNAcentral describes it as "partial 16S ribosomal RNA". It matches the Rfam family "Bacterial small subunit ribosomal RNA", at positions 524 to 776 of the family's 1533-position model. The record is from RNAcentral.